CACUAGUAGAAAAAAUGACAAAGGCACCCCACCUUUGGCACCGAUUUUUGAAAACCGGUGGUUAAAAAAACGGGCGGGAUUGGAAAACAAACUUUAAGCACCGGUUCAAACCGGUGCCAAAUAAAAAAGAUAUUUUUUUUUAAAAAAAAAAAGGGAAAAAUUAUAUUUGGCACCGGUUCAUACCUAAUCGGUGCCAAAUAAUGUAUUACCACCGGUUCAAACCGGUGCCAAUUAAAAAAGAGAAAAAAAAGGGGAGAAAGGGAUUUGGCACCGGUUCGGUUCGAACCGGUGCGAAAUCUAUUGUAAAAUAAAAAAAAAACCCGGAUAUACUCUUUCUUUCUAUUGCUUUCAUUUCCUCGAUCUUUCCUCCCCUCUCAUCUGAUCUGCCUCUCUCUCUCCUCCAUUGAAGCAUACUCGAAUUUCCCUCUUCGUUCUGCUCUUCUCUUUCAAUUCCCUCCCAUUUUCGCAUAUCCUGCUCUCCCAGCUUUCCUUCUCCGUUUUCGCAUCUCCCUCUCGUUUUCGCAUCUCCUUCUGCACUCCAUUGAAGCAGCUCGCUCUCUCUCCAUUGAAUUGGUUUACGCGCUUUCUCACUCCAUUGAAGCAGCACUUCCAUUGAACCAGCUCUGGCCUCCAUUGAACUCACUUCGAGGGUUUGUCAUUGAAGCGCGCACGACUACACCUCCACCCUAACAGCCUCCUUGUCACGGCUACACCUCCACCGAUUCUAAGCUUUCCCACCUCCAUUGAACCAGCUUCGAGGACUUGGUUUGUUUCUUCUGGCUAUUUGUAUGAUUUAUGCAGGUGUAAUGAUCAUGGAGAACCACUCCCUCCUAAUGAUCAAAAAUAUGUUAUUGACAAUGUGCUGAACUACCAUCCUGAUAAACGGAUAAAAUUGGGGCUGAAGUUAAUUUUAUUAUGGUUAAAAAGCAUAGCAACUUCCAAGAAAGUCGUUGCUUUUAUGUCGUUUUAAUGGAUGGGCAUAAUGUGGACUUCUCAUACAUCAAGUGCUUGGAGACUUAUGUUAAGGGAAAGUACCAAUCAGUUGCUGAGUCCUUCAUGUCCAAGUAUUUUAGAAGGCCUCGUUCGGGAGCUGUCCAAGAGCUCUAGUUGCUAUCAAAUCCUCUUUCGUGGGAAAUGUGUUUCCUGGCCUCUUGUAUAUUGAUUCCGAUGACAGGAUUUAAUGUGGAGACUGUGGAAUACAAGAACAUCAGCUUUACCGUGUGGGAUGUCGGAGGUCAAGACUAGGCAAGUCCCGUCUACUUUAUUUAUCUGAUAUCAUCAUGUGUUGCUAUUUUUUAAGUCUUAUAUUGAAUUCUUAAUUGCAUGGCAUAGACAUAUCUAUAAUUUACUUUUCCUUGAGGCCUAAAUAUUACCUUUUGAAGUUAUGCUCAAAUGGUAUAGCAACCGUUCCUCAAUGACAUGAUUUUUGACUCCAUGUUUUUGCUUAUGUGGUCAGAUCAUCUACAUUAGUUGAGGGGAGAGAUUGAACAGGAUUAAAUUUAUUACCUUGUCAUUUCGAUAUGUUUAGACGCGGUAAAUCAAUUUAGAGAUUUUCCCUGGUUUCCCUUUUAUUCACUAGUGUAUUCCUCGUGUUGAAAUUGUGUCCAAAUCACUGCAACCUUUUGACGUUUUUCCACUUUUUCGGAAUUUUAAGUGCUCUAUUGCAAGCUUCACCGAAUGACUUUGCCUGGUAAAUGGCUUCUGGAAUGCUAAAUAACCAGCACCACACUCAUGUAACCAUUUGCCUUCACAACACUGCUCGUUAUUGUUGACGGUUACUAUGUACAAGUUCUGCUUUGGCUGCUCACUGAAUUUGAUUCUGCUCCACUACUCCUUCCCUUAACGGUUCCUCCUGCCCUGUCCUGCUCCUUCUUGUGUAUGUGAUUGAGUCGUUCUGUUUUCUCAAGGCAUUCGUUACAUAAAAUACCAAUCAAUAUGUAUUGCAAAUCUAUCAGAAUGUAUGCUAUGCAUUUUCGUUAGCCUCUCUGCUCUUUGUAUUUAAGUUCAUGUCUCUUGACAAAUGUAGCUCUCAAACACACAAGAUUUCACUUAAAUACCAAACAGCCUGUAUUAUUGAUCUCUUAGAAUGUAUGCCUAAUUUUUUCAAUUGUAAGAAGGCUAGAAUACUAUUUGUUCUUGCGAUUCAGCUUUGCAAUAUCUGUCACUAAAAAGAAUAAUGUCUUAUAUAGAACUUUAAAUUUUUUUGAAUAAAGGUGUAAAUUUGACAGGUUAUCAUUAAAUCCAGAUUUCCGCUUGCAAAAAAGUUGUAUUGGAAAGUUUGUUGAACAUCACCAGGGUGGACCCAUUUUUUAAUAUCAGAACACUGAACAUUAAGCUAGAAUCAGGCCACAUAAUGGGGUAUGGACUGAAAUGCUAUGUUUUCCUAAGAAUUUCGAUGCAAAUACUAGUAAUUAGUUUAGCUGUACUCACACAAAAUUUUUAUCAUCUAACUAUAUGUGAACAAACAGGCUAUAGAAAUGUUUGUAAAGCUAAUUGUGUGCCAGUUGGCUUCUUUUUCGCAGCAUGAAGACAAUACAAGGUAUCUAGCUUUAAAAUUGUGAUCUGUGAUAAUAUUCUCCUUUGCAGACACUGUAACUCCUGCUGAUGUUGGUCUGAAAGAGGAGAAUGUAGAUGAUGACCGAGGAUAUGGUCUUUCUUUGCUGAACCCAUUCAACCGAGCACCUAGAUGGGCCCAACCUAUAACAUAUCUGGAUAUCCAUGAGUCUGACACCUUUACAUUAAGGCCAUAUGCCCAUAUCUCCUUUUCUGUAUUACUUUCAAUGUCUCAUGUGCGAUCAACUUAUUCAUGCAUCUUUAACCUGGAACUCCAUUCAAGUUGCAUUUCAUAGUUCAAAUGCAUAAAACUUCAAAUGUAUAUAUAUUUGUUUAUUUGUUCAAAUACAUAAAAUUUCAAUCAUAGUUAUUUUUGUUCAUCUGUUCAAAGUGUAAAACUUCACAUGUAAUUAUUGUACCUGCCUAGCUAGUUGACUCAUUCUUUCCUGUGAUUCAUUACAUCUGUUCAAAUUGUAGAACUUAUUAAUAUAGAUUAUUUGAGGUGGUGCUUCAUUUGUUUAAAGAUUUAGUCAUGAAUUCAUGUUACUAGUUACCAAUCAUUGCGGACUAGUUUUGUGCUGUCAUUAUGUUGUAGUGCUUCAACUUAAUGAUGCAGGAUUCAUUGCAUUAGCAUGAAUGUGUUAGUACUGACAGUCCAGUCUCCACUUAGCGCUGACAUCCUAAUAUAAAUAUGCUAGAUGUGCAUAUUUUGCUUUCCGACAUCUGCAGUCAUUCCUCUGCAUGAUCAUCCUCGAAUGACAGUCUUCAGCAAACUUCUGUAUGGAUCCUUGCAUGUGAAGGCUUAUGACUGGGUUAAACCUCCACAAGUUAUUCAGAGCAAUGGCUCUGAGUGCUCUCAAGUUGGACCUAACACUGCACCGUCUGCAUGGGCCUACAAUGGAACUGGUAAAACUACUGCUAUCAAUUGCUUGACUGGAAUUUCACCAGUGACCAGUGGAGAUGGUAACAGUUUGUUUGAGAAUCUGUCCUUUCUGGUUUAAAUUUCUGUUUUUCAUGAUGUACUAGUCAGCAUUCAACUGAAGUCUCAAGUGUUUUUUUUUUUUUUUAGUUUUUUAAAGUGUAAUAUUACAAGUUA
Chenopodium quinoa (quinoa) is the source of this 3649-nucleotide long non-coding RNA. RefSeq lists it as uncharacterized. The transcript has 8 exons. The record is from RefSeq and is a predicted model, not a curated record. Lineage: Eukaryota; Viridiplantae; Streptophyta; Magnoliopsida; Caryophyllales; Amaranthaceae.